This 69-nucleotide transfer RNA is filed under the name Mytilus trossulus (common blue mussel). Its description in RNAcentral is "tRNA-Met". It matches the Rfam family "tRNA". From Rfam's summary of the family: Transfer RNA (tRNA) molecules are approximately 80 nucleotides in length. Their secondary structure includes four short double-helical elements and three loops (D, anti-codon, and T loops). Further hydrogen bonds mediate the characteristic L-shaped molecular structure. tRNAs have two regions of fundamental functional importance: the anti-codon, which is responsible for specific mRNA codon recognition, and the 3' end, to which the tRNAs corresponding amino acid is attached (by aminoacyl-tRNA synthetases). tRNAs cope with the degeneracy of the genetic code in two manners: having more than one tRNA (with a specific anti-codon) for a particular amino acid; and 'wobble' base-pairing, i.e. permitting non-standard base-pairing at the 3rd anti-codon position. The record is from RNAcentral. Lineage: Eukaryota; Metazoa; Mollusca; Bivalvia; Mytilida; Mytilidae.
GAUAAGGUGGUCUAAUGUUAGGAUAUAGGGCUCAUGCCCCUAAGGUGCCGUAAAUAACGGUCUUUAUCU